GAAUUUUUAACAGAAAAUUGUCGCAUAUUUCUGUGGGGGUAAUUUUGUUGUCUUAUGUUUCAGGGUAUCCUUAAAGAAGGGUUAAACUGCGUUUCACGAACUGGCUAAUUAAGGGAGUGCAAUGGCGAUAUUUAAAAUGGAAAUCCUUCUAAACCUUUCAUUUUAUAACUCAGUUAUAAUGAAGAGUGGAUCGCUAUCAAAUAGUAAGAAAACAACACAAAAUGAAUCCAAGAUCACAUAGAAUAUCAUUCAGAAGAAAUGCAAAACAGAUAACUCAUCGGUUUCGGUUCUUUUGUUAUGGAAGUGAAUAAUAUACCGAAUUAAAAUGGCUGAUUCGAAAACAUCCAAUAAAGACGUGAGUGGGCAACUCGAAAUCUACCACCGAUGAAGAAGAUACUUCCAGUUCCUAACAGAAAAAUUUAUUUAUUUUUCUAAAGUGUUGAUUACUGCACACCGCAAUUUUAUAUGAACAGUCGUCGAGAUAUUAAGGAAAGAAUAUGUUCUUUCACAUCACACCACACCACAUUACAAUACACCAUACCACAUGAGAUCACAUCACAUCAUAUUCACAUAAAAUUCACAUCAUAUUAAACACAUGAACUUCAUAAUUGUCUUAUAAAGGUUAAUACCUGCUGUACCAAAAACAUUGGUGCUGAUAAGUUUGACAAUUUCGUCGACAUUGUGUUUUCUUUAAAUAGAGAAUAUAUACAUCUACAAUUCUACAUUGUUGUCUCACAGUAUGUAAUAUUGUUGUGGUUUCCAACAGUUGUUCAGAGUUUUGUUACAGUUUUUGGAUCAAAGAUAAAUUUGUUGAUAACUGAAAUUGCCUUCUCUUAUAUUAACGAGUGAUUAUCUAAUGGAGAAAUGUAUUUUCCAAAUUUUUCUGUGUUAGACUCAUUUACAUCAACAAUCAUUUUCUCUCAUCCAGUUGUUUUGGAAUGGAUAAUAGAAAUGAGUUUGUGCUUUAGUAGUUUCAUGACAGUCUUGUUACAAGACCGAUUGUUUUGAAAAAAUUUGGAGUGAUGUGACUUUCCCACGUUUCCCAACGCUGAUUAUUGUUGUGUAUUACAUUAACAGAUAAUGUUUAGCCAAUUACGAGUCAUUCUCCGUCCUCGUAUAAAAGACUACGUGGAAAAAGGAAGGGCCGUCACAAUCACAGUCACUCUUUUGAAAACCUUCCUUUGAUUCAGCACAAAGUUCAUAAAAUUUUCAAUACGGUUGUUGAUAAUUACGUGGGUCCUUACCCCGUAUUUUCCACAGAAUUCCACAUCUGUAUCUAAACUACUGGAACAGCACGUGUUUCCAAAUUGUAAAAGAUGAAUAAUAAAUCGGUAAGGUUGGCCUCCUUUGUGGUUGGCUGAAUAUAACACUGCUGAUUAAUCGAAUGGUGUAUUUUACAGAUUUUACAAAAAAAUUCACCACACUCAUGCUUUCUUCUUAAUACGUAGAUGAUUUUCCAUAC
This is a long non-coding RNA of Aethina tumida (small hive beetle), 1462 nucleotides long. RefSeq lists it as uncharacterized. The transcript has 3 exons. The record is from RefSeq and is a predicted model, not a curated record. Lineage: Eukaryota; Metazoa; Arthropoda; Insecta; Coleoptera; Nitidulidae.